Long non-coding RNA from Oncorhynchus tshawytscha (Chinook salmon), 540 nucleotides. The record is from Ensembl. NCBI's taxonomy places the organism in Eukaryota, Metazoa, Chordata, Actinopteri, Salmoniformes, Salmonidae.
UGCUGGUCCAUCUAUAAUGUUAACACUAGACUCAGGUUGUUGGUCCAUCUAUAAUGUUAACACUAGACUCAGGUUGUUGGUCCAUCUAUAAUGUUAACACUUCCUCCUCUCCUCCUGUCCCCCUGUCCUCCUCUCCUCCUGUCCCCCUUCCUCCUCUCCUCCUGUCCCCCUGUCCUCCUCUCCUCCUGUCUCUCCGUCCUCCUCUCCUCUUGUCCCCCUGUCCUCCUCUCCUCCUGUCCCCCUGGCCUCCUCUCCCCCUGUCUCUCCGUCCUCCUCUUCUCUUGUCCCCCUGUCCUCCUCUCCUCCUGUCCCCCAUCCUCCUCUCCUCCUGUCUCUCCGUCCUCCUCUCCUCUUGUCCCCCUGUCCUCCUCUCCUCCUGUCCCCCAUCCUCCUCUCCUCUUGUCCCCCUGUCCUCCUCUCCUCCUGUCCCCCUGUCCUCCUCUCCUCCUGUCCCCCUGUCCUCCUCUCCCCCUGUCUCUCCGUCCUCCUCUUCUCUUGUCCCCCUGUCCUCCUCUCCUCCUGUCCCCCAUCCUCCUCUCC